ACAUGCAAGUCGAACGGUGAAGCCAAGCUUGCUUGGUGGAUCAGUGGCGAACGGGUGAGUAACACGUGAGCAACCUGCCCUGGACUCUGGGAUAAGCGCUGGAAACGGUGUCUAAUACUGGAUAUGAGCUCCUUCCGCAUGGUGGGGGUUGGAAAGAUUUUUCGGUCUGGGAUGGGCUCGCGGCCUAUCAGCUUGUUGGUGAGGUAAUGGCUCACCAAGGCGUCGACGGGUAGCCGGCCUGAGAGGGUGACCGGCCACACUGGGACUGAGACACGGCCCAGACUCCUACGGGAGGCAGCAGUGGGGAAUAUUGCACAAUGGGCGGAAGCCUGAUGCAGCAACGCCGCGUGAGGGAUGACGGCCUUCGGGUUGUAAACCUCUUUUAGCAGGGAAGAAGCUUUUGUGACGGUACCUGCAGAAAAAGCGCCGGCUAACUACGUGCCAGCAGCCGCGGUAAUACGUAGGGCGCAAGCGUUAUCCGGAAUUAUUGGGCGUAAAGAGCUCGUAGGCGGUUUGUCGCGUCUGCUGUGAAAUCCCGAGGCUCAACCUCGGGCCUGCAGUGGGUACGGGCAGACUAGAGUGCGGUAGGGGAGAUUGGAAUUCCUGGUGUAGCGGUGGAAUGCGCAGAUAUCAGGAGGAACACCGAUGGCGAAGGCAGAUCUCUGGGCCGUAACUGACGCUGAGGAGCGAAAGGGUGGGGAGCAAACAGGCUUAGAUACCCUGGUAGUCCACCCCGUAAACGUUGGGAACUAGUUGUGGGGACCAUUCCACGGUUUCCGUGACGCAGCUAACGCAUUAAGUUCCCCGCCUGGGGAGUACGGCCGCAAGGCUAAAACUCAAAGGAAUUGACGGGGACCCGCACAAGCGGCGGAGCAUGCGGAUUAAUUCGAUGCAACGCGAAGAACCUUACCAAGGCUUGACAUACACCAGAACACCGUAGAAAUACGGGACUCUUUGGACACUGGUGAACAGGUGGUGCAUGGUUGUCGUCAGCUCGUGUCGUGAGAUGUUGGGUUAAGUCCCGCAACGAGCGCAACCCUCGUUCUAUGUUGCCAGCACGUAAUGGUGGGAACUCAUGGGAUACUGCCGGGGUCAACUCGGAGGAAGGUGGGGAUGACGUCAAAUCAUCAUGCCCCUUAUGUCUUGGGCUUCACGCAUGCUACAAUGGCCGGUACAAAGGGCUGCAAUACCGUGAGGUGGAGCGAAUCCCAAAAAGCCGGUCCCAGUUCGGAUUGAGGUCUGCAACUCGACCUCAUGAAGUCGGAGUCGCUAGUAAUCGCAGAUCAGCAACGCUGCGGUGAAUACGUUCCCGGGUCUUGUACACACCGCCCGUCAAGUCAUGAAAGUCGGUAACACCUGAAGCCGGUGGCCCAACCCUUGUGGAGGGAGCCGUCGAAGGUGG
This 1402-nucleotide ribosomal RNA is filed under the name Microbacterium sp. W22. Its description in RNAcentral is "bacterial SSU rRNA". It matches the Rfam family "Bacterial small subunit ribosomal RNA". Lineage: Bacteria; Bacillati; Actinomycetota; Actinomycetes; Micrococcales; Microbacteriaceae. The record is from RNAcentral.